ACCCUGAUGCAGCCAUGCCGCGUGUGUGAAGAAGGCCUUCGGGUUGUAAAGCACUUUCAGUUGUGAGGAAAAGUUAGUAGUUAAUACCUGCUAGCCGUGACGUUAACAACAGAAGAAGCACCGGCUAACUCCGUGCCAGCAGCCGCGGUAAUACGGAGGGUGCGAGCGUUAAUCGGAAUUACUGGGCGUAAAGCGCACGCAGGCGGUUUGUUAAGCUAGAUGUGAAAGCCCCGGGCUCAACCUGGGAUGGUCAUUUAGAACUGGCAGACUAGAGUCUUGGAGAGGGGAGUGGAAUUCCAGGUGUAGCGGUGAAAUGCGUAGAUAUCUGGAGGAACAUCAGUGGCGAAGGCGACUCCCUGGCCAAAGACUGACGCUCAUGUGCGAAAGUGUGGGUAGCGAACAGGAUUAGAUACCCUGGUAGUCCACACCGUAAACGCUGUCUACUAGCUGUGUGUGCCUUUAAGGCGUGCGUAGCGAAGCUAACGCGCUAAGUAGACCGCCUGG
Molecule: ribosomal RNA, 504 nt
Filed under: Alteromonas sp. QPT_2_2
Lineage: Bacteria; Pseudomonadati; Pseudomonadota; Gammaproteobacteria; Alteromonadales; Alteromonadaceae
Description: bacterial SSU rRNA
Rfam family: Bacterial small subunit ribosomal RNA
Source: RNAcentral